UGGGGAAUAUUGGACAAUGGGCGAAAGCCUGAUCCAGCGACGCCGCGUGAAGGAUGAAGGUCUUAGGAUUGUAAACUUCUUUUAGGAAUGAUGAAUGCCCUGAUAAAGUCAGGGUUGACAGUAAUUCCUGAAUAAGCCACGGCUAACUACGUGCCAGCAGCCGCGGUAAUACGUAGGUGGCGAGCGUUACUCGGAAUUACUAGGUAUAAAACGCAGGUAGGUGGUUUAACAAGUUAGAGGUAAAAUCCACGAUUAAAAUCGUGAACCGCUUUUAAUACUGUUAGACUUGAGUAUAAAAAGGGGAACCGGAAUUCCUGGUGUAGCGGUGAAAUGCGUAGAUAUCAGGAGGAACACCGAUGGCGAAGGCGGGUUCCUGGUUUAUUACUGACACUGAUCUGCGAAAGCUAGGGGAGCAAGCAGG
Molecule: ribosomal RNA, 421 nt
Filed under: uncultured bacterium
Lineage: Bacteria
Description: bacterial SSU rRNA
Rfam family: Bacterial small subunit ribosomal RNA
Source: RNAcentral